GAUAAAACAAACCCUGGGUUUCCGUAUACAACGUUUGACCAUCCAUCUUAUUUGAAAAAAUUAUUAAAAAAUUAAAAAGACAAAUCACGCAUAAAGUAUUAAUUAUAUUUUAUCAUCUAACAACAAUGAAAAUACUAAUUAUAAAGAAAAAUUAUAUAAGACGGACAGUCAAAUAUUAGACACGGAAACUCAGGGUUUGUCUUUUU
This is a non-coding RNA of Oryza glaberrima (African rice), 206 nucleotides long. Lineage: Eukaryota; Viridiplantae; Streptophyta; Magnoliopsida; Poales; Poaceae. The record is from Rfam.